This 203-nucleotide long non-coding RNA is filed under the name Mytilus galloprovincialis (Mediterranean mussel). Lineage: Eukaryota; Metazoa; Mollusca; Bivalvia; Mytilida; Mytilidae. The record is from RNAcentral.
UGUGGGCUUGUGGCUUGUUAUCUAUAUUUUGCCUGAAGAGAUAGAUCUUGUGUUACACUACACAUCCUUAGCUCAUUUAUGUCUUUUUAAAAGUUUAUGAAGAUGCAAAUUUCGUCCAUGACAAAAGACACAUGCUAUUUCUUCAAUGUUACACAAAACACACACACACUUUUUACCUAAAAUCAUUGUUUGUCAAAUUUCAU